This 72-nucleotide transfer RNA is filed under the name Camelus bactrianus (Bactrian camel). It matches the Rfam family "tRNA". Rfam says of the family: Transfer RNA (tRNA) molecules are approximately 80 nucleotides in length. Their secondary structure includes four short double-helical elements and three loops (D, anti-codon, and T loops). Further hydrogen bonds mediate the characteristic L-shaped molecular structure. tRNAs have two regions of fundamental functional importance: the anti-codon, which is responsible for specific mRNA codon recognition, and the 3' end, to which the tRNAs corresponding amino acid is attached (by aminoacyl-tRNA synthetases). tRNAs cope with the degeneracy of the genetic code in two manners: having more than one tRNA (with a specific anti-codon) for a particular amino acid; and 'wobble' base-pairing, i.e. permitting non-standard base-pairing at the 3rd anti-codon position. Lineage: Eukaryota; Metazoa; Chordata; Mammalia; Artiodactyla; Camelidae. The record is from Rfam by way of RNAcentral. RNAcentral also lists the same sequence under 2 other names.
GAGAGUGUAGCUCAGUGGUAGAGCACAUACUUAGCAUGAACGAGGUCCUAGGUUCAAUUCCCAGCACCUCCA